RNAcentral lists this ribosomal RNA (447 nucleotides) under uncultured bacterium. RNAcentral's name for it is "bacterial SSU rRNA". It matches the Rfam family "Bacterial small subunit ribosomal RNA", at positions 329 to 792 of the family's 1533-position model. The record is from RNAcentral.
UGCCAGACUCCUACGGGAGGCAGCAGUGGGGAAUAUUGCGCAAUGGGGGCAACCCUGACGCAGCAACGCCGCGUGAUUGAAGAAGGCCUUCGGGUUGUAAAGAUCUUUAAUCAGGGACGAAAAAUGACGGUACCUGAAGAAUAAGCUCCGGCUAACUACGUGCCAGCAGCCGCGGUAAUACGUAGGGAGCAAGCGUUAUCCGGAUUUACUGGGUGUAAAGGGCGUGUAGGCGGGCUUGUAAGUCAGAAGUGAAAUCUGGGGGCUUAACCCCCAAACUGCUUUUGAAACUGCGGGUCUUGAGUGAUGGAGAGGCAGGCGGAAUUCCCAGUGUAGCGGUGAAAUGCGUAGAUAUCAGGAGGAACAUCGGUGGCGUAAGCGCUUUACUGGGCCGUAAUUGACACUGAGGAACGAAAGCCAGGGUAGCAAAUGGGAUUAGAUACCCUUGUA